AAUAGAUACCCAGGUAGUCCACGCCGUAAACCGAUGAAUACUAGGUGUCGGAGGGUACCACCUUCGGGUGCCGCAGCAAACGCAAUAAGUAUUCCGCCUGGGGAGUACGGUCGCAAGAUUAAAACUCAAAGGAAUUGACGGGGACCCGCACAAGCAGCGGAGCAUGUGGUUUAAUUCGAAGCAACGCGAAGAACCUUACCUAGACUUGACAUCUCCUNGAAUUACUCGUAACGGAGGAAGCCCUUCGGGGCAGGAAGACAGGUGGUGCAUGGUUGUCGUCAGCUCGUGUCGUGAGAUGUUGGGUUAAGUCCCGCAACGAGCGCAACCCUUAUUGUUAGUUGCUACCAUUAAGUUGAGCACUCUAACGAGACUGCCGCGGUUAACGUGGAGGAAGGUGGGGAUGACGUCAAAUCAUCAUGCCCCUUAUGUCUAGGGCUACACACGUGCUACAAUGGCCGGUACAACAAGAUGCAAUCCCGUGAGGGGGAGCUAAACUCAAAAGCCGGUCCCAGUUCGGAUUGUAGGCUGAAACUCGCCUACAUGAAGUUG
RNAcentral lists this ribosomal RNA (549 nucleotides) under uncultured bacterium. RNAcentral describes it as "bacterial SSU rRNA". It matches the Rfam family "Bacterial small subunit ribosomal RNA", at positions 777 to 1328 of the family's 1533-position model. The record is from RNAcentral.